AUUGAACGCUGGCGGAAUGCUUUACACAUGCAAGUCGGGCGGCAGCGCGGGGGCAACCCUGGCGGCGAGCGGCGAACGGGUGAGUAAUACAUCGGAACGUGUCCUUGAGUGGGGGAUAGCUCGGCGAAAGCCGGAUUAAUACCGCAUAAGCUCUGAGGAGGAAAGCGGGGGACUGGUAACGGCCUCGCGCUGUUGGAGCGGCCGAUGUCGGAUUAGCUAGUUGGUGGGGUAAAGCCCACCAAGGCGACGAUCCGUAGCUGGUCUGAGAGGAUGAUCAGCCACACUGGAACUGAGACACGGUCCAGACUCCUACGGGAGGCAGCAGU
Molecule: ribosomal RNA, 326 nt
Filed under: uncultured bacterium
Lineage: Bacteria
Description: bacterial SSU rRNA
Rfam family: Bacterial small subunit ribosomal RNA
Source: RNAcentral